This 324-nucleotide RNase P RNA is filed under the name Galbibacter pacificus. RNAcentral's name for it is "RNase P RNA component class A". It matches the Rfam family "Bacterial RNase P class A". Rfam says of the family: Ribonuclease P (RNase P) is a ubiquitous endoribonuclease, found in archaea, bacteria and eukarya as well as chloroplasts and mitochondria. Lineage: Bacteria; Pseudomonadati; Bacteroidota; Flavobacteriia; Flavobacteriales; Flavobacteriaceae. The record is from RNAcentral.
ACCGCAGGCCACCUUAUCGCUGCAAACCUUAAAGUUUGUAGAGGAAAGUCCGGACACCACAGUGCAGCAUAGCGGCUAACGGCCGUCGGCCGAAAGGCCAGGACAAGUGCAAAAGAAAGGAUGUACAGGUAAUGCUGUAGUGAAAUCGGGUAAACUCUAUGCGGUGCAACGCCAUGUAUACCAAUGCCCCGAUAGCUAUCGGGAGAAGGCUGCACGCCUGAUGUUGGAGGGUAGGCGGCUAGAACGUUGCAGCAAUGCAGCGUCCAGAUAAAUGAUAAGGAUCUUUUUCAAGGUACAGAAUCCGGCUUAUGGCCUGCUUUUUUC